Leptonychotes weddellii (Weddell seal) is the source of this 1095-nucleotide non-coding RNA. The record is from RefSeq and is a predicted model, not a curated record. Lineage: Eukaryota; Metazoa; Chordata; Mammalia; Carnivora; Phocidae.
CGGCAUCCAGGAGCAGAGCACUUUACUCCCUCAGAAUGAAUGGAGACCAGAAAUUGGACCCUUAUGCCCAAGCAAAGCAGGAUUUCAUCCAGCAUUUCUCCCAGAUUGUCAAGGUGCUGACCGAGGAUGGCGUGGGCCACCCGGAGACCGGAGACACCAUUGCCCGGCUCAAGGAGGUCUUGGAGUACAAGGUGAUUGGUGGCAAGUGCCAGCGGGGUUUGACUGUGCUGAUAGCAUUUCAGGAGCUGGUAGAGCCAAGGAAGCAGGAUGCCGAUAGUCUCCGGCGGACCCUGACUGUGGGCUGGUGUGUGGAACUGCUCCAAGCUUUCUUCCUGGUGUCCGACGACAUCAUGGACUCAUCCCUCACCUGCCGGGGGCAGAUCUGCUGGUAUCAGAAGCCAGGCAUAGGUUUGGAUGCCAUCAAUGAUGCUUUGCUUAUGAAGAGUGUAUCUACCGCCAGCUGAAGCUCUACUGUUGGGAGCAGCCCCAUUACCUGAACCUGAUAGAGCUUUUCCUUCAGAGUUCCUAUCAGACCGAGAUCGGACAGACCCUGGACCUCAUCACAGCCCCCCAGGGCAAUGUGGAUCUUGGCAGAUUCACUGAAAAGAGGUACAAAUCUAUGGUCAAGUACAAGACCGCUUUCUACUCGUUCUUUCUUCCUGUGGUGGCUGCCAUGUACAUGGCGGGCAUCGAUGGGGAGAAAGAGCAUGCCAAUGCCAAGAAGAUCCUGCUGGAGAUGGGGGAGUUCUUCAGAUUCAGGACGAUUACCUCGACCUCUUUGGGGACCCCAGUGUGACAGGCAAGAUUGGCACAGACAUCCAGGACAACAAAUGCAGCUGGCUGGUGGUUCAGUGUCUGCAGCGGGCCGCUCCGAAAUAGCGUCAGCUCUUUCAGGAGAAUCACGGACAGAAGGAGGCGGAGAAGGUGACCCGGGUGAAGGCGCUGUACGAGGAGCUGAACAUGCCCGCCGUGUUCACGCAGUAUGAGGAAGACAGCUACGGCCACCUUCUGGGCCUCAUCGAGCAGUAUGCCUUGCCCCUGCCCCCGGCCAUCUUCCUGCUGCUGGCACACAAGAUCUACAAGAGGAAAAAGUGA